CAAAAAGUAGCUUAAAACAAAGCAUUUAACUUACAAUUAAACCAUGUUAGAAAGUCUAACCUUUUUGC
RNAcentral lists this transfer RNA (68 nucleotides) under Anolis carolinensis (green anole). RNAcentral's name for it is "tRNA (ENSACAG00000028212.1)". It matches the Rfam family "tRNA". From Rfam's summary of the family: Transfer RNA (tRNA) molecules are approximately 80 nucleotides in length. Their secondary structure includes four short double-helical elements and three loops (D, anti-codon, and T loops). Further hydrogen bonds mediate the characteristic L-shaped molecular structure. tRNAs have two regions of fundamental functional importance: the anti-codon, which is responsible for specific mRNA codon recognition, and the 3' end, to which the tRNAs corresponding amino acid is attached (by aminoacyl-tRNA synthetases). tRNAs cope with the degeneracy of the genetic code in two manners: having more than one tRNA (with a specific anti-codon) for a particular amino acid; and 'wobble' base-pairing, i.e. permitting non-standard base-pairing at the 3rd anti-codon position. Lineage: Eukaryota; Metazoa; Chordata; Lepidosauria; Squamata; Anolidae. The record is from Rfam by way of RNAcentral.